Long non-coding RNA from Lytechinus pictus (painted urchin), 960 nucleotides. RefSeq lists it as uncharacterized. NCBI's taxonomy places the organism in Eukaryota, Metazoa, Echinodermata, Echinoidea, Temnopleuroida, Toxopneustidae. The record is from RefSeq and is a predicted model, not a curated record. The transcript is spliced from 3 exons.
AGUGAAUGUGGAUGUAUUUUGCCGAAAGGAAUGCAAGUAGUACCGCUUCUGGACACAAUGACAUGUUAAAUGUCCGACCAAAGCGGCACACGACAACAGAAUUUAAAAACCAGAAAGUUGUUCUCAAACUAUAUACAAGACUGGAUUUCUUCUCCCAAAUUACUCCCUAUAUGAGAAGAAAGAUGAAAAGUGCACUGUGGUGAAAACCAGGUCAACGUUUGGUUGGGGUGGAAUUUUCCUAUAACCAGAGCCCCAGAUCUCAUUCCUGCAGUGAUAUCACCCAAUUGCUGUUGAGCUAAAGGGCUAAUGAUGAAUUAACUGGUGUCGUUCAAGACUUCUACUCCUUCGAUCCUGAGCCACAUUUGCCGGAAGUGGAACCACCAAUCGUGCAUGCAGUCUGGUCAGCCCGGCUGGUCAGCGAGGAACUUGGAAAGCUUUCAUCAGGAGGUGAUGGCGCGGGUCAUGCGAAUAGGAGAAUGUUGCUUGGAAGGCAUCGGGAAGUGUGGUUAUCUUACGUUAAGAUGAGGUCUGACGUCAUUUUUGACUGGCCAAUCAGAUUUUCCACUUGAGAGGACCCAGUUUUAUAAUCAGGCAGCAAGGUGACUUUUUAUCAAAUGAACUAUAGGUAUCAGUAUCUGAAUAUUGGAACAUUAACCCCAGUUACCUAACGUAAAUGUCUGCCAUUUCAUCUCUUCUACAUGUAGUCACCACAGGCGGAGACGCCUAAAAGGAGCGCCCGAUUUUUUUAAUUGAUGUUUUAAAGGAAUUGGGAAGAAAAAUAGUUUGCCGGCGUAAAUGGUGGGAUAUUGCAUUCAUAACUUAUGGGUAUAAAAACUCUUUGCUGAAAACAGAUAUUACGCUCUUUUUAAAAAGAUUUCCUCAUACUAUAGUUUUUCAGAGAGUUACAAACAUCAGUUUAUAAUAUGAGUAUUAUUAUAAACAAAACGACAAGAGUAUGAU